AUUAUACUCUCUAGUCUAUACUAAAAUUGGAUCGAUACAGAGAAGAUUAGCAUGGCCCCUG
RNAcentral lists this small nuclear RNA (61 nucleotides) under Sinocyclocheilus anshuiensis. Lineage: Eukaryota; Metazoa; Chordata; Actinopteri; Cypriniformes; Cyprinidae. The record is from RNAcentral.